CGUCCGAGUUUCACCUACCAUGGCGCCGUUCGAUGCCGCAUUGGGAUCGAUCCAGUCGUCCACCUGGCCUACGGUGCCGGUUCUUCCACCACCAUCAGAUCGAUGAGAGGACAACAGACGGUCAAGAUCUUCCCAACAUAUCCCCACACAGCCAAAACCCUAGCAGCGCUCGCGGCCCGCUCGCAUAUGGCCUCAUCCGCCGCCACGCUGCUGUAGCCCUCUCACGGGCGGACGGCGACGCAUCGGCGCACGCAGCCGGGCGCCGGUUCCCCGCCUCACGCAACGGAGUGAGGGCAUGGCGUGCGUGCCCCUCUCUUUCCCUCCCCUUCUCUUCUUCUCACUCUUCUUGCGCCCUCGCAGGUUUUUUCCUCCAUCGUCAUCGGCCCAUCAAUGGCAGUUCGUCCCACAUCGAUUGCCAUAUUGGCAGCAUCAAUACAUAGCAUCAUCUCGAUGGUCUGCGAGCUCGAGCUCGAGAUGUGGUAUUUACCCAUAUCAUGCGAAUCAUUUGAGCCUUCCGGAUCCCAACUCCUGAAGCGUCCAGGGCGUAUCUGUCUCCAUCGUUAGGCGCUGCUGUUGUUCAGACAAGCUGAUCUACCGUCUCUCCUUUCAAGUUACAUAGUUCAAGUCGUCAUUCAUUACUUCGACAAACAGUCUGCCGAGUUCAUCAACUCAGCUGCUGGGGCCAUCACCGUCUCCUACGUCAUGCAGCUACUGACUGGGAGGAUAUGCAUAAUGUGCUUUUUACAGAGGGACAAUGUUCUAGGUGUUUGCAAAAAAGCACGUGUGAGGGCACAAAUCCAUACUAAGGCAGAUCGCCAACUUAUACUGUCAGGACAUAUGUGUUUUGGAUAUUUUUUCCCUUCCUUUUCCCUAUCAUCCUUCUCUAUUGCCUACUUGGGAGGGAGUUUUCAGCAGUAAUAUAUGCCACACAAACCAUAUCCGAUAUACUUUCCAUCAGUGGGGGAGAGUAGUUUAGAUGUUGGGUGAGUGCAUUUCAUUGUUGGAGUGUACCAGUGUAAAAUGUUCUGAAAUUAUUUCGUAACUAAUAAAGCAAAUUUACAACCUUC
Long non-coding RNA from Oryza sativa Japonica Group (Japanese rice), 1067 nucleotides. RefSeq lists it as uncharacterized. NCBI's taxonomy places the organism in Eukaryota, Viridiplantae, Streptophyta, Magnoliopsida, Poales, Poaceae. The record is from RefSeq and is a predicted model, not a curated record.